This 1215-nucleotide ribosomal RNA is filed under the name Triticum aestivum (bread wheat). RNAcentral's name for it is "partial small subunit ribosomal RNA". The record is from RNAcentral. Lineage: Eukaryota; Viridiplantae; Streptophyta; Magnoliopsida; Poales; Poaceae.
AUGCUUAACUGGCCAGAAACGGAAGGGAAAAAGCGAGACGACUAUGACAACAUGCAUGGGCGUGGCACCGGCAAUAUUGAAAAUUGCGUUAGCGAAGAGUACAGAUGUGCUAAGGUAGCACGUGAAGGGACUGUCCCAGAGGAAGAAACGAAGAAAUCUAAACGAAAAGGUGGUGGCAGGAGUAGAAAGCCAAGCACGUCCACGGUUUCAUCGAACACGACUUGUAGUAUGGACCGUGUGAUGACAUACAUAAAGCUGCUUCACAAGGAGGUUCUCAAUAUACCCGAAAGAUGUGCACAGAUGGUAAUGGAAAGGUUGAACACGCAAGGUGUGCUGUACAAACCCAAUAAGAGGGACAACAAUGACGAAUUUGAUAAUGUAGGUGAAGGAGUUGGGAUGGAGAAUGGCCUGUACAAGUCAUCAAAAUAUUGGCCAAAUAUUGAUUCACCUACCGACGUAAAGGUACCAACAUCUUCCACGGGUAUCAAUGAUACCUCCGUGCCCGUUGAUGACACGGGUGCUCCGGCGACGACACCGGGUAAAGGUGAAGCUACUGAUCCUUUCAUUAUAGACGAUAAUGGAAACUCUCCAUCUUCGGCAUCAACUGUACGUACAAAAGACUUUCCGUCUAUGUCCCGAACCCCGCAGAAUGCUGAUAUUUCUGGUGAGUCUAUGGAUGCUUUGUCACCAACAAAGUCCGAAGACACGUUUGAGAGUUUUCCGGCAAAGAGCAACAUAGGUAAUGGUGAAGGCAGUCAGGAAAAUGAUGAUCUGUUUGCAUCGUCACCACAUUCAAUUCUAGCAAGUUCUCUUAAUAUGACUCCGGAUCACAUAGAGGCAACCAGAGUUUUUGUUGAGACUCUAGCAUCGACAAAGAAGCAUGCACAUCGAACCGUGGUCGAUAUGCCGCCACCAGAUGGGGACAUAUGCACGCCAUCUAUGCUUCACGAUGUCCUGACGUUUAAAUGGUUGCAUGGCGCUAUCAUCAAUGCAUAUUGUAAACACCUACAACACCGUGAUUUUUCUGAUCGUUACAUAUCAACAACGUGGUUCCCUAAAUUUAUGUUGAGUAGGGCAAGGGGAAAGACCAAGUCAGUAAAUGAUUUAGACUCAGAACAUGUUACAAAGAAAACAAAAGUCAUCGCAAGAGUAAUGGAUGAGUAUUUCAGACGAGACAAGGCGUAUUUUCCUAUGCACGUUAAUGAUAAUCAUUGA